CAUUUAUGUAAAAUGCAUCGUGAUCCCAUCGUUGUUUUUUUUUUAAUUGACAGCCAUUUGCAAGCGAUGUCGUCUUUUGUUAAGUCCAACAGAGCAAAAACACUAUGAUGACGCAGAAAAAGAUGAUCGUGUUAGUGCUCUGUAUACUGCAAUGGAGAACCUAACUAUAACCACUGAAGUGUCAAGUACGUUUCACUUAGAACAGCCAUGCGCUGACGUUGGAUCUACAAUUGGUUCUAGUGAGGAGUUAAGCACAUGUUCCUCCUCUAUGAGAGAUUUAAGUCAAUAUAUCCCWCAGAACACAGACGAAAGUACAAGCAGUUCCACUGAGCAUAGGAGAUAGUAGUUACAGUUGAGACAUUAAAGUGCCGUUCACUAAAUCUGGAUAUUGACUUCUGUUUACAGUGUUGUAUCGGUUUCAUGGGACUGCAAAUCUUGUGAAAUAUCGCCUAUUAGACUAUUAUUUAAAGAACAUAACAAAAUGAUAAGAAAUAAAAAAUAGGGUAGGAAUUUCACUUCUGAGGUAUAUAGCUUGAAAACGUCAGUCUCAAAAGAAAUUUUUCAUUCAGCAUCGACGUCUCGGUAAUUAUUUUUUGGGAAUUAGAUUUUAGAUACAAUUCCAGUGAUGUCACGUAUACUAAAAUACAAUAAAGACUGUUUACUGAA
Long non-coding RNA from Exaiptasia diaphana, 666 nucleotides. RefSeq lists it as uncharacterized. The transcript has 2 exons. The record is from RefSeq and is a predicted model, not a curated record. NCBI's taxonomy places the organism in Eukaryota, Metazoa, Cnidaria, Anthozoa, Actiniaria, Aiptasiidae.